This 630-nucleotide ribosomal RNA is filed under the name Triticum aestivum (bread wheat). RNAcentral describes it as "partial small subunit ribosomal RNA". The record is from RNAcentral. Lineage: Eukaryota; Viridiplantae; Streptophyta; Magnoliopsida; Poales; Poaceae.
AUGGAUUACACAUGUUUUGGGGAUGCUGUAUCAUUUGAUACCACUUUUCAGACUAACAAGUUUGAAAUGCCUUUUGCUCCAUUCGUUGGUACCAACCAUCACAAGCAGACAGUAAUUUUUGGUGCCGCGCUGAUAUUUAAUGAGAGUAUCGAUUCAUUUGUUUGGCUCUUUGAAACAUUUUUAAUAGCGAUGUCAGGCAAGCAUCCGAACACUAUUUUCACUGAUCAGGACAAGGCCAUGGACGGAGCAAUUGCAUAUGUGUUCCCAAAUACAAGUCAUCGGCUUUGUUUGUGGCACAUUUAUCUUAGUGCUGCAAAACAUCAUGGGCAUGUAAUUCAUGAGCAUCCUGAGAAGUUUUUACCUGAUUUUAAGAAAUGUGUCUAUGAAGAUAGGUCAGAAUUUUACUUCAAUAAAAAAUGGUUUGAAUUGUUGGAUCGAUACAACCUUGAGGACAAUGAAUGGAUGAAAAAGAUGUAUGAGUUGAGGGAAAAGUGGGCUGCUGUCUAUCGUGACUCUUUUACAGCUGAUAUGAACUCGACUCAAAGGAGUGAAGGUAUAUUGUGCAAGCAUGCAUUCAAAGUCUUCAAUAUGAAUGAUUUUUUUUCAUUUUGCCACCACAAUAUAUACUAG